CCUACGGGAGGCAGCAGUGAGGAAUCUUCCGCAAUGGGCGAAAGCCUGACGGAGCGACGCCGCGUGUGGGAUGAAGUCUUUCGGGAUGUAAACCACUGUCGGAGGGGAAGAUAGUGACGGUACCCUCCAAGGAAGCCCCGGCUAACUACGUGCCAGCAGCCGCGGUAAU
Molecule: ribosomal RNA, 169 nt
Filed under: uncultured bacterium
Lineage: Bacteria
Description: partial 16S ribosomal RNA
Rfam family: Bacterial small subunit ribosomal RNA
Source: RNAcentral